Molecule: ribosomal RNA, 496 nt
Filed under: uncultured bacterium
Lineage: Bacteria
Description: partial 16S ribosomal RNA
Rfam family: Bacterial small subunit ribosomal RNA
Source: RNAcentral
GAUGAACGCUGGCGGCGUGCCUAAUACAUGCAAGUCGAGCGAACAGACGAGGAGCUUGCUCCUCUGACGUUAGCGGCAGACGGGUGAGUAACACGUGGAUAACCUACCUAUAAGACUGGGAUAACUUCGGGAAACCGGAGCUAAUACCGGAUAAUAUAUUGAACCGCAUGGUUCAAUAGUGAAAGACGGUUUUGCUGUCACUUAUAGAUGGAUCCGCGCCGCAUUAGCUAGUUGGUAAGGUAACGGCUUACCAAGGCAACGAUGCGUAGCCGACCUGAGAGGGUGCUCGGCCCACCUGGAACUGGGACGCGGCCCAGCCCCCUACGGGAGGCCGCAGGAGGGAAUCUUCCGCAAUGGGCGAAACCCUGACGGAGCAACGCCGCGUGAGUGAUGAAGGUCUUCGGAUCGUAAAACUCUUUUUUUAGGGAAAAACAAAUGUGUAAUUAACUAUGCAGGUCUUGACGGUACCUAAACAGAAAACCCCGCCUAACUACGU